GACGAACGCUGGCGGCGUGCUUAACACAUGCAAGUCGAACGGAAAGGCCCUGCUUUUGUGGGGUGCUCGAGUGGCGAACGGGUGAGUAACACGUGAGUAACCUGCCCUAGACUUUGGGAUAACUUCAGGAAACUGGGGCUAAUACCGGAUAGGAGCUCCUGCUGCAUGGUGGGGGUUGGAAAGUUUCGGCGGGUGGGGAUGGACUCGCGGCUUAUCAGCUUGUUGGUGGGGUAGUGGCUUACCAAGGCUUUGACGGGUAGCCGGCCUGAGAGGGUGACCGGCCACAUUGGGACUGAGAGACGGCCCAGACUCCUACGGGAGGCAGCAGUGGGGAAUAUUGCACAAUGGGCGGAAGCCUGAGGCAGCAACGCUGCGUGCGGGAUGACGGCCUUCGGGUUGAGAACCGCUUUCGCCUGUGACGAAGCGGGUGUGACGGUACUGAGUAAAGAAGCACCGGCUAACUACGUG
This 468-nucleotide ribosomal RNA is filed under the name uncultured bacterium. Its description in RNAcentral is "partial 16S ribosomal RNA". It matches the Rfam family "Bacterial small subunit ribosomal RNA", at positions 28 to 507 of the family's 1533-position model. The record is from RNAcentral.